This is a long non-coding RNA of Strongylocentrotus purpuratus (purple sea urchin), 954 nucleotides long. RefSeq lists it as uncharacterized. NCBI's taxonomy places the organism in Eukaryota, Metazoa, Echinodermata, Echinoidea, Camarodonta, Strongylocentrotidae. The record is from RefSeq and is a predicted model, not a curated record. The transcript has 2 exons.
UCCCCGUCCAAACGAAAUCUGAGUACAUGCACCCCCGGGCGUUCAUGCUUUUUAAACACAAUGCACUUCGCCACGAUAGCAGACGACGUGCGUGCCGAUAUUACACACAGCUUUGCCACACUUGACUCUCUGAGCUGCGAUUGCCGGGUCAACUUUUGCAUAUGCGUUUUAAUACAGCUGAGGAGCUUUCUACUGCCAAAGAGAGCAAGAGCCAGAGCCUGAGAUAGACAGAAGUGUCCAACACCUCGAUUUAUUGAUUGGAUCAAUAACUAUCACAACACAAAAUGAACACUUUCAAUCCCACCUGUCUGCUACUAUGCCUGGCUAAUCUGACAUUUGCAUGUAAGUAAUCCAUGUUUUCUCCACUUCUCGGCGUUGAAAACAAAUUAUUUGAAUAUAUUUCUCCCUUUUAUUUAAUAAAAAAAUUGUUGAUUAGUUUUCUUGAUGUUGCUGAAUGGCUGCUUUGAUCACAACAUCUUAUUAGAGUGUAGUGAGCAAAUAAAAACUUUUGAUAUUAUUCUUUCUGGCUUUUAUAGAAUUAUCAAGAUGUACAUUUUGAAAUCAACAUUUCUUGUAUACAUAAGCCAAUCUACUCAUUAAUCCCAUGUCUCUAUACAUAAAUUUGCAAACAAAUAGGUCUUAAACUACAAAAUGCAGGAGAAAAAAUAUUCCACAAGUAUUCUGUCAUCAUAUUUUUUUCUCCUUUAGGCAUUUCUACUGUUGGUCGCCUUUUUAUAUCAGGCAUAUUUUUUACAAAUUCAAAGCUGAAAAUUAUGGAGAGAAAAAGAAAAACUGCUAAAACCACAUUAAUUCUCUAAAUAUUAUUUAGAAAAACAUGGCAGUACACUGUAUACCAACAAAUAAAUAUACUACUAUUACCUAAAAAAGUGUUAUCACACUUGUAAGGCCACUUUGGUUGAAAAUAUUCAUACAUGUACAAUAAAAUCAUUCUAC